RNAcentral lists this transfer RNA (68 nucleotides) under Chelonoidis carbonarius (red-footed tortoise). RNAcentral describes it as "transfer RNA-Glu". It matches the Rfam family "tRNA". Rfam says of the family: Transfer RNA (tRNA) molecules are approximately 80 nucleotides in length. Their secondary structure includes four short double-helical elements and three loops (D, anti-codon, and T loops). Further hydrogen bonds mediate the characteristic L-shaped molecular structure. tRNAs have two regions of fundamental functional importance: the anti-codon, which is responsible for specific mRNA codon recognition, and the 3' end, to which the tRNAs corresponding amino acid is attached (by aminoacyl-tRNA synthetases). tRNAs cope with the degeneracy of the genetic code in two manners: having more than one tRNA (with a specific anti-codon) for a particular amino acid; and 'wobble' base-pairing, i.e. permitting non-standard base-pairing at the 3rd anti-codon position. Lineage: Eukaryota; Metazoa; Chordata; Testudines; Testudinidae. The record is from RNAcentral.
GUUCUUGUAGUUGAAUACAACGGUGGUUUUUCAGGCCGUAGGUUUCGGUUAAAGUCCGGGCGAGAAUU